RNAcentral lists this ribosomal RNA (472 nucleotides) under uncultured bacterium. Its description in RNAcentral is "partial 16S ribosomal RNA". It matches the Rfam family "Bacterial small subunit ribosomal RNA", at positions 28 to 507 of the family's 1533-position model. The record is from RNAcentral.
GACGAACGCUGGCGGCGUGCUUAACACAUGCAAGUCGAACGCUGAAGCUUGGUGCUUGCACUGGGUGGAUGAGUGGCGAACGGGUGAGUAAUACGUGAGUAACCUGCCCUUGACUCUGGGAUAAGCCUGGGAAACUGGGUCUAAUACUGGAUACGACAUGUCACCGCAUGGUGGUGUGUGGAAAGGGUUUUACUGGUUUUGGAUGGGCUCACGGCCUAUCAGCUUGUUGGUGGGGUAAUGGCUCACCAAGGCGACGACGGGUAGCCGGCCUGAGAGGGUGACCGGCCACGCUGGGACUGAGACACGGCCCAGACUCCUACGGGAGGCAGCAGUGGGGAAUAUUGCACAAUGGGCGGAAGCCUGAUGCAGCGACGCCGCGUGAGGGAUGACGGCCUUCGGGUUGUAAACCUCUUUCAGCACGGAAGAAGCGAAAGUGACGGUACGUGCAGAAGAAGCGCCGGCUAACUACGUG